This is a non-coding RNA of Myotis davidii, 83 nucleotides long. The record is from Rfam. NCBI's taxonomy places the organism in Eukaryota, Metazoa, Chordata, Mammalia, Chiroptera, Vespertilionidae.
AGGCCUGCAGAGAGAGAGGCAGCGUCUGAUCUGCAGCCUCAGUGGCAGCUGUUGACCAGCCGUUUCCUCUCUCUUUCUUUCCA